GACGAACGCUGGCGGCGUGCUUAACACAUGCGAGUCGAACGGAAAGGCCCUGCUUUUGUGGGGUGCUCGAGUGGCGAACGGGUGAGUAACACGUGAGUAACCUGCCCUUGACUUUGGGAUAACUUCAGGAAACUGGGGCUAAUACCGGAUAGGAGCUCCUGCUGCAUGGUGGGGGUUGGAAAGUUUCGGCGGUUGGGGAUGGACUCGCGGCUUAUCAGCUUGUUGGUGGGGUAGUGGCUUACCAAGGCUUUGACGGGUAGCCGGCCUGAGAGGGUGACCGGCCACAUUGGGACUGAGAUACGGCCCAGACUCCUACGGGAGGCAGCAGUGGGGAAUAUUGCACAAUGGGCGGAAGCAUGAUGCAGCAACGCCGCGUGCGGGAUGACGGCCUUCGGGUUGUAAACCGCUUUCGCCUGUGACGAAGCGUGAGUGACGGUAAUGGGUAAAGAAGCACCGGCUAACUACGUG
This 468-nucleotide ribosomal RNA is filed under the name uncultured bacterium. Its description in RNAcentral is "partial 16S ribosomal RNA". It matches the Rfam family "Bacterial small subunit ribosomal RNA", at positions 28 to 507 of the family's 1533-position model. The record is from RNAcentral.